UUUAUGGAGAGUUUGAUCCUGGCUCAGGAUGAACGCUGGCGGCGUGCCUAAUACAUGCAAGUCGAGCGAACGGACGAGAAGCUUGCUUCUCUGAUGUUAGCGGCGGACGGGUGAGUAACACGUGGAUAACCUACCUAUAAGACUGGGAUAACUUCGGGAAACCGGAGCUAAUACCGGAUAAUAUUUUGAACCGCAUGGUUCAAAAGUGAAAGACGGUCUUGCUGUCACUUAUAGAUGGAUCCGCGCUGCAUUAGCUAGUUGGUAAGGUAACGGCUUACCAAGGCAACGAUGCAUAGCCGACCUGAGAGGGUGAUCGGCCACACUGGAACUGAGACACGGUCCAGACUCCUACGGGAGGCAGCAGUAGGGAAUCUUCCGCAAUGGGCGAAAGCCUGACGGAGCAACGCCGCGUGAGUGAUGAAGGUCUUCGGAUCGUAAAACUCUGUUAUUAGGGAAGAACAUAUGUGUAAGUAACUGUGCACAUCUUGACGGUACCUAAUCAGAAAGCCACGGCUAACUACGUGCCAGCAGCCGCGGUAAUACGUAGGUGGCAAGCGUUAUCCGGAAUUAUUGGGCGUAAAGCGCGCGUAGGCGGUUUUUUAAGUCUGAUGUGAAAGCCCACGGCUCAACCGUGGAGGGUCAUUGGAAACUGGAAAACUUGAGUGCAGAAGAGGAAAGUGGAAUUCCAUGUGUAGCGGUGAAAUGCGCAGAGAUAUGGAGGAACACCAGUGGCGAAGGCGACUUUCUGGUCUGUAACUGACGCUGAUGUGCGAAAGCGUGGGGAUCAAACAGGAUUAGAUACCCUGGUAGUCCACGCCGUAAACGAUGAGUGCUAAGUGUUAGG
Molecule: ribosomal RNA, 844 nt
Filed under: Staphylococcus aureus
Lineage: Bacteria; Bacillati; Bacillota; Bacilli; Caryophanales; Staphylococcaceae
Description: bacterial SSU rRNA
Rfam family: Bacterial small subunit ribosomal RNA
Source: RNAcentral